RNAcentral lists this unclassified non-coding RNA (329 nucleotides) under soil metagenome. RNAcentral describes it as "partial contains 5.8S ribosomal RNA, internal transcribed spacer 2, and large subunit ribosomal RNA". The stretch from base 1 to 120 matches the Rfam family "5.8S ribosomal RNA", at positions 35 to 154 of the family's 154-position model. The record is from RNAcentral.
GAUGAAGAACGCAGUGAAAUGCGAUAAUUAAUGUGAAUUGCAGAAUUUAGUGAAUCAUCGAAUCUUUGAACGCACAUUGCGCCCCUUGGUAUUCCGGGGGGCAUGCCUGUUCGAGCGUCAUUUCAACCCUCAAGCUCUGCUUGGUCUUGGGCUGCGCCGGCAACGGCGGGCCUCAAAAACAGUGGCGGCGCCAUCUGGUCCCUCAGCGUAGUAAUUCUUCUCGCUGCUGGGCCCCGGUGGCCGCUUGCCAGCAACCCCAAACUUUCUAUGGUUGACCUCGGAUCAGGUAGGGAUACCCGCUGAACUUAAGCAUAUCAAUAAGCGGAGGA